CAUCAACUUUCUUUUCCUUUUGUAGAUCCACUUUGAAUCCAAAAGUUUAUUUCCUCGAGGAAGAUCAACCAACUCUCAAGUAUGGUUGCUCAAGAUUGAAUCUAUCUUACUAUUGACAAACUUUUCUCAAAGAGAAUGAGUCCACAAAGGACAUAACUUUUAGAAUAUAUGAGACUCAUUUUCAAGAAGAAAUGUUACAAAAUCAAACUCGUAGGAAGUAAUUUGUCCAUUGACAUUUACUACGCCUCCGAAUCUCUUUAUUAAGUACAUUCUCCUUUGGUUCUUUCCAAGGUCGUUUAGACCCUUCACUUGACUAUCCGACAGUUCGGACUUAUGAACAAUAAAUCGACAUGCUUUACUAUUUGUAGCAUAUCCAAUGAACAUACAAUCCAAAGUCUUAGGUCCUAUUUUGACCCGUUUGGGAAUAGUUUCCUCAUUUCCAUUUCUCAUAUGAAAUAGACUGUAUUGGAAAUUGUUUGAUCACUAUCUUUCAAAAGUUAUUGCUUGUAUAAACUUUAAGGGACGACAAACAAUUCUCUAUCAGGAUACAACAAAGACUGAACAAACACAACUUUCUNNNN
RNAcentral lists this long non-coding RNA (581 nucleotides) under Solanum tuberosum (potato). RNAcentral describes it as "long non-coding RNA (STUB_LNC004713)". Lineage: Eukaryota; Viridiplantae; Streptophyta; Magnoliopsida; Solanales; Solanaceae. The record is from RNAcentral.